CCUACGGGCGGCAGCAGUGAGGAAUAUUGGUCAAUGGACGAGAGUCUGAACCAGCCAAGUAGCGUGAAGGAUGACUGCCCUACGGGUUGUAAACUUCUUUUAUAAAGGAAUAAAACGAGGCACGUGUGCCUUUUUGCAUGUACUUUAUGAAUAAGGAUCGGCUAACUCCGUGCCAGCAGCCGCGGUAAUACGGAGGAUCCGCGCGUUAUCCGGAUUUAUUGGGUUUAAAGGGAGCGUAGAUGGGUUGUUAAGUCAGUUGUGAAAGUUUGCGGCUCAACCGUAAAAUUGCAAUUGAUACUGGCAGUCGUGAGUACAGUUGAGGUAGGCGGAAUUCAUGGUGUAGCGGUGAAAUGCUUAGAUAUCACGAAGAACCCCGAUUGCGAAGGCAGCUUACUAAGCUGUGACUGACAUUGAUGCUCGAAAGUGUGGGUAUCAAACAGGAUUAGAUACCCCAGUAGUC
Molecule: ribosomal RNA, 460 nt
Filed under: uncultured bacterium
Lineage: Bacteria
Description: partial 16S ribosomal RNA
Rfam family: Bacterial small subunit ribosomal RNA
Source: RNAcentral